AUUGAACGCUGGCGGCAUGCCUUACACAUGCAAGUCGAACGGCAGCGCGGGAGCAAUCCUGGCGGCGAGUGGCGAACGGGUGAGUAAUACAUCGGAACGUGCCCAAUCGUGGGGGAUAACGCAGCGAAAGCUGUGCUAAUACCGCAUACGAUCUACGGAUGAAAGCAUGGGAUCGCAAGACCUUGCGCGCAUGGAGCGGCCGAUGGCCGAUUAGGUAGUUGGUGAGGUAAAGGCUCACCAAGCCUUCGAUCUGUAGCUGGUCUGAGAGGACGACCAGCCACACUGGAACUGAGACACGGCCCAGACUCCUACGGGAGGCAGCAGUGGGGAAUUUUGGACAAUGGGCGAAAGCCUGAUCCAGCCAUGCCGCGUGCAGGAUGAAGGCCUUCGGGUUGUAAACUGCUUUUGUACGGAACGAAACGGUCUUUUCUAAUAAAGAAGGCUAAUGACGGUACCGUAAGAAUAAGCACCGGCUAACUACGUG
This 484-nucleotide ribosomal RNA is filed under the name uncultured bacterium. RNAcentral's name for it is "partial 16S ribosomal RNA". It matches the Rfam family "Bacterial small subunit ribosomal RNA", at positions 30 to 507 of the family's 1533-position model. The record is from RNAcentral.